Cyanistes caeruleus (blue tit) is the source of this 2172-nucleotide long non-coding RNA. RefSeq lists it as uncharacterized. Lineage: Eukaryota; Metazoa; Chordata; Aves; Passeriformes; Paridae. The record is from RefSeq and is a predicted model, not a curated record.
CGGGGAGCGGGGUGGAGCGGGGCGGUGAUCCCGGCCGCAGUGGGACGGCCAUCCCCGGGGAGCGGGGCGGUGAUGCGGGCCGCAGUGGAGUUGCGGCGGAGGGCGGGCGCCGUGCGCUGCGAGCCGCUGUCACUCGUCACGGCCACCGCCGUGCCCUUUGCUUCUGUCCACGGGUUUCGUCACUCUGGGCUUCCCGAGGGCAGCUGGGUCUGUCCCGUCGUGCAGUUUCUUCCAUGGAAACCGCAGUGACUUUUGUGCACCAGCUGCCACGUCCCGACCCUCUAACCCGAAAGGCUGCGCCUCGCACCCCGCGCCCACGCGUGGAGACAGGGAUUUCUGCUCCCUCGGCAGCGCCAAGGAUAUGCAUACAGCCACAGGAACCAGAAUAAAGAAAAGAGAGCACAUGUUACAUCAUCUGUGUGGGACCCAUAUCAGGUUACCUAACUGAGCUUUGAGAACUCAUCAUACUUACCAACAUUUAAUGCAGAGUAUAACAUACUCUGUUCAUCUUGUUUUACAGUAAAACAUAAGACUUGUAUCACAUCACAACACUGUGCCUGAGUCCCUGUUUCUUACUACUGUGCUGCAAAAGUCUGCAUUCUUAUGCAAGGCUUAAGCCACAGUUGACCCAGAUCAAAACAUUUGUGACCAGUCUGUUCCAUAUUAUAAAACCAACCUUCAAUUAAUUGUUUGGCAGAAUAUUCAGAAGAAUCCUACCUACAGAGGCUUUGGCAGCACAAGAAAAGUAAUGCAGGGCAAGGCAGCUAAGGCAGCUUACCACCUUGAAGAUAACAAAAUGAGAUUCUUUUAUGUUUGACAGACUCUGGUUCAAAAUAUCUUGCAUUUCUCAACAAUCAACAGAGACUGCUAUCAGGAGUCUCACAAUGGAAUGUAGAAGAACAAGACUGGGGAUCUAGGUGACUAAGGUUAGGAGAUGUUUACUGUUAUUGUCAUGAUGUUUGCAGAUGAGUAGAUGUUAGGCAACUUGGAGGUCAGUGUCAAGCUACAUCUGCAAAAAUGGUAUGCAAGAACUGUAAGAAAUUGUGUGUAAGAAAUGUAUUACAGGAAGUAAUUGAGAUAGCUGAGAUCUUCUAAGAAACUAAUAAACAGUGGGACAGGUAAUGUUUUUUUCAGCUCAUUAAAUUUAAGAAAUACUAGGAAUAACUUAAUUACAGAUUUUGGUGACUCUACAUAAUUUCUACUUCUCAUAAGUUUUAAAGCAAAAAAAAAAAUUAGAUACCAAGAUAUUUUGUGACCUAGACCUUAAUAUGACUUGGCUCUUAUUUUCUGCUUUUCAUAGGGGAGAAUAGAAGACAAAAGUGCUAAAUGUUUAUAGAUAAAGGAAAAAAGGGAAAGGCCUGUUAGAAGGGCAUAAGCUCAAGUGGGAAUGAGUAUGGAGAUGAAAGAAGCAGAUAUUUGAGUUCAUGAAGCUUCUUAAGUUUGGGAACACUUUACAAAAGAAAGUAAAUCAGUUUGUCAAAACUGGUUGUCUUUACUGCAGGACUUGGUUUCACAAUGACAUAAAGAAUAAAAAGAUUGAACCAGUGACCACUGAAUUAAUUCAUGGAAAUACCAUGAAGGACAGUAUACUCUCAAAAUCACAAGCGAUGUAUUGCCCCAGUGGUAGAUUUGCUUUUUUUAUGUCCAGGAGUAUCCUGGUCAGAAGGCACUGACCUCUGUUCUGUUUAAAGGAGUGAUUUUGUUAGUUUUCAACCUAUGAGGGAAAAAAGUUUUUCACCUUUGCAAUAACAUCAGAAAGAGCAGAAAAUGAAAAUUAUUGUCCUAGUGACUGACAUUGCAGGGAGGAUGUAAUGAAGGAAGUAGCUACAAUGUUUUUCUGUGCAUGCUAAUUAUAAUUUUUAAGAUCAUUUACUUCUUUCCUUCCCUGGACUUGCUGUUCCAGCCUUGAUCACAGAGUAAGCAACAGGUGAGUAAACAAGAAAGAUUCUGGUGAAAAUUCCUUAUUACUAAAAGGAAUCUGUAUUUUGUAAUAUUCCCGCUGCCAUCAAUAUGUGAUGCACAUUCAAGGCAUGCCUGUGACAGCACUGUCAUCUGUAUAAGGCAACUACUCUUUCAACAGCAAUCUUCUACUUCUUCAAUAGCAAUCUUACUACUGCCUAUUAAAGAAAUAGCCCUAAUAAUUGCUCAUGUCUGCCACUGCAAAGAAAUUAU